UGCACAUGCCAUGUGAUAAGCUUUUGGAUCUAACAUCGAAUGACCAAUUCAGUAACUUCUAACUUGCACUUAUAUACAAUUAUAUCUUGAAUCAUUGCAUGUUUCGUGUUCUUCAAUGAUUGAAGGUUGAUAAAGUUUAGAUGCGAAGGCUGUCUAUCCUUCUGGAGGCAUUAGAACCCCACCAUCCCCAAGCACUAGGCUCACGCUUAACAGUCCCCCG
RNAcentral lists this long non-coding RNA (220 nucleotides) under Elaeis guineensis (African oil palm). Its description in RNAcentral is "long non-coding RNA (EGUI_LNC026468)". The record is from RNAcentral. Lineage: Eukaryota; Viridiplantae; Streptophyta; Magnoliopsida; Arecales; Arecaceae.